RNAcentral lists this ribosomal RNA (867 nucleotides) under uncultured archaeon. RNAcentral describes it as "bacterial SSU rRNA". It matches the Rfam family "Archaeal small subunit ribosomal RNA", at positions 1 to 878 of the family's 1478-position model. The record is from RNAcentral.
CUCCGGUUGAUCCCGCCGGACCCGACUGCUAUCAGAGUGGGACUAAGCCAUGCGAGUCAACAUAGCAAUAUGUGGCAUACGGCUCAGUAACACGUAGUCAACAUGCCCAGGGGACGUGGAUAACCUCGGGAAACUGAGGAUAAACCGCGAUAGGUCAUCACUUCUGGAAUGGGUAAUGACUUAAAUCUAUAUGGCCCCUGGAUUGGACUGCGGCCGAUCAGGCUGUUGGUGAGGUAAUGGCCCACCAAACCUGUAACCGGUACGGGCUCUGAGAGGAGGAGCCCGGAGAUGGGCACUGAGACAAGGGCCCAGGCCCUAUGGGGCGCAGCAGGCGCGAAACCUCUGCAAUAGGCGAAAGCUUGACAGGGUUACUCUGAGUGAUUUCCGUUAAGGAGAUCUUUUGGCACCUCUAAAAAUGGUGCAGAAUAAGGGGUGGGCAAGUCUGGUGUCAGCCGCCGCGGUAAUACCAGCACCCCGAGUGGUCGGGACGAUUAUUGGGCCUAAAGCAUCCGUAGCCGGUCCUGCAAGUCUUCCGUUAAAUCCAGCUGCUCAACAGAUGGGCUGCGGGAGAUACUACAGGGCUAGGAGGCGGGAGAGGCAAGCGGUACUUUAUGGGUAGGGGUAAAAUCCGCUGAUCCAUAGAAGACCACCAGUGGCGAAGGCGGCUUGCCAGAACGCGCUCGACGGUGGGGGAUGAAAGCUGGGGGAGCAAACCGGAUUAGAUACCCGGGUAGUCCCAGCUGUAAACGAUGCAGACUCGGUGAUGGGUUGGCCUCGCGCCUGCCCAGUGCCGCAGGGAAGCCGUUAAGUCUGCCGCCUGGGGAGUACGGUCGCAAGACUGAAACUUAAGGGAUUGGCGGGGGAGCA